UACUUGCCUGGAUUAGAUGUCCUACUGUUCCUAGAUCAUACAGUAUUUAUUUAAUCCUGUGUUCUUUUGCAGUGGGAGUGUGUUUUCAUGCAGAUGCUGAGUAAUCUCCCAGUAGCAUAGAGGACAUUGCAAAGAUUUGGAGUUUUGUGCAGUGUUUCUGCCUCUUGGUGUGGACAUGUGAGACCUUGGGGAGAAGAGUCCAGUGGAACUGAGCAACUGAUGUAGGUGACAGCCUGCAUCAGGUAUAGAAGAGGACAUCAGUGUACAGCCUAACAGCAUUUGAACGCUCAAUCCCAGUGAUUUUCUCAUAGGAAAUUAUUCUGGAGUGGCUCCUGCUGAUACAUUGUCCUGGAUUAAUUUCCUACACAGAUUCUCAGGUGAGGACUUCUCGCCUCUGCUGUAUUAG
This 406-nucleotide long non-coding RNA is filed under the name Calidris pugnax (ruff). Its description in RNAcentral is "lncRNA (ENSCPUG00000002619.1)". Lineage: Eukaryota; Metazoa; Chordata; Aves; Charadriiformes; Scolopacidae. The record is from RNAcentral.